RNAcentral lists this ribosomal RNA (200 nucleotides) under uncultured bacterium. RNAcentral's name for it is "partial 16S ribosomal RNA". It matches the Rfam family "Bacterial small subunit ribosomal RNA", at positions 8 to 219 of the family's 1533-position model. The record is from RNAcentral.
AGAGUUUGAUCCUGGCUCAGGACGAACGCUGGCGGCGUGCUUAAUACAUGCAAGUCGAGCGGGUGCAGCAAUGCAUCAGCGGCGGACGGGUGAGUAACGCGUGGGCAAUCUGCCUUCUAGUCUGGGAUAACAGUUCGAAAGGACUGCUAACACCGGAUAUGCUCACAUCCCGGCAUCGGGAAGUGAGGAAAGUUUACGCU